GUAGCGGCUGUCUGCAUCUCUCUACGGGACACGUGCUGUGCUAGGCUCUUCACAUGCAAAUUGGAAAUGAGGCUGAGAGAGAGGAAGUGUUUGUCCCAGGUCAACAGCGACUGAGAGGCAGAGCUGGGACCACACACAGUUCCUGUCCCGUCAGCCUUUCUGUUCCCACAGAGAUGGCGACACUGGCGCCCAGAGAAGCGACUGGCCCGAAUCCUCGCAGCUGGGAAGGGGCAGGGCCAGGAACACGAAGACUCCUGGGGACUAGCAGCCUCGCCCGUGAACCGGGGGAGGAGGGGUCACGGUCACUGAUCUUCGCCAGCGCUGUCGGGCGAGCCGGAAGCUGUCGUCCCCAAGGUUCAGAGACUUCUCGCAGUCAUCUUACCAUGCUUAUUGCAUGUCAGUUCCUAGAUUUACUCUGUUCAAGAGUCAAUAAACCCCCCUGACCACCUGCUA
Long non-coding RNA from Phyllostomus hastatus (greater spear-nosed bat), 453 nucleotides. RefSeq lists it as uncharacterized. Lineage: Eukaryota; Metazoa; Chordata; Mammalia; Chiroptera; Phyllostomidae. The record is from RefSeq and is a predicted model, not a curated record. The transcript is spliced from 2 exons.